Molecule: ribosomal RNA, 254 nt
Filed under: uncultured bacterium
Lineage: Bacteria
Description: partial 16S ribosomal RNA
Rfam family: Bacterial small subunit ribosomal RNA
Source: RNAcentral
UACGUGGGACACGAGCGUUAUCCGGUGUGACUGGGCGUAAAGCGUGUGUAGGCGGUAUAUUAAGUUACUUCUUAAAGAUCUCUGCUCACCAGAGGGAAAGGAGGUAAUACUGGUAUACUCGAGUUUUCUUUAGGGAAACUGGAAUUGACGGAGGAGUAGUGAAAUGCGUUGAUACCGUCAAGAACACCAGUGGCGAAGGCGAGUUUCUGGAAGAUAACUGACGCUGAGACACGAAAGCGAGGGGAGCGAACCGG